UUCAAUCCUUUAUGACCCUAAAUAUCAUGUGAAAAGACAGUGGCAUUAAUAUGAUGGUAUUUACUUCAACAGAGACGCAGGAGGGAUACUAAAUAAUGAGAUCUAUAGGUGCUAAAUACAUGAGAGAACAAGUGAACAUGAGCCUUUGCAUGGAUGCCAUCUUCUACAGAGAACUGCAGAUCAGGUGGAGAUACUUGGCCAUUCCAGGGCUUGCAUACUUGAUCUCCAUGCUACAGCUCCCAUGAUCGAUGAUCCAAACAGAGAAGGCUCUGUCAAUCCAGUCAGAAGUCAGGUGAUAAUUUUUCAUUGUUCAAGUGAAGUGGGGAAAGAAAAAAGCAUAAAGGUUCUUUACAUGGCCCAUAGAGGAAGGCCCUCGUGUUGUAGUCUGCACCUUAGUGACAGAAUCCUUCUCAUAGGGAUGGUGUUUCUGCUCUUAACCGUGAAUCCAUGUUCUGAAAGUGAGAAUGUGUUUGAUCCUUGAAUUGAAGUGUUUGAGAACACACACUAAAGAAAAUCACUUACAUGGGGUUAAGAGUAUCCUUGGAGUAAAUGCUAGCUAGUGCAGUCGGCAAGGGCCU
Telopea speciosissima is the source of this 578-nucleotide RNA transcript. RefSeq lists it as uncharacterized. NCBI's taxonomy places the organism in Eukaryota, Viridiplantae, Streptophyta, Magnoliopsida, Proteales, Proteaceae. The record is from RefSeq and is a predicted model, not a curated record. The transcript has 2 exons.